UGAUGCAGCGAGCCGCGUGAGCGAGAAGUAUUUCGGUAUGUAAAGCUCUAUCAGCAGGGAAGAAAAUGACGGUACCUGACUAAGAAGCACCGGCUAAAUACGUGCCAGCAGCCGCGGUAAUACGUAUGGUGCAAGCGUUAUCCGGAUUUACUGGGUGUAAAGGGAGCGUAGACGGUUGUGUAAGUCUGAUGUGAAAGCCCGGGGCUCAACCCCGGGACUGCAUUGGAAACUAUGUAACUAGAGUGUCGGAGAGGUAAGCGGAAUUCCUAGUGUAGCGGUGAAAUGCGUAGAUAUUAGGAGGAACACCAGUGGCGAAGGCGGCUUACUGGACGAUCACUGACGUUGAGGCUCGAAAGCGUGGGGAGCAAACAGGAUUAGAUACCCUGGUAGUCCACGCCGUAAACGAUGACUACUAGGUGUCGGGGAGCAAAGCUCUUCGGUGCCGCAGCAAACGCAAUAAGUAGUCCACCUGGGGAGUACGUUCGCAAGAAUGAAAC
This 497-nucleotide ribosomal RNA is filed under the name uncultured bacterium. RNAcentral describes it as "bacterial SSU rRNA". It matches the Rfam family "Bacterial small subunit ribosomal RNA", at positions 384 to 900 of the family's 1533-position model. The record is from RNAcentral.